RNAcentral lists this ribosomal RNA (435 nucleotides) under uncultured bacterium. RNAcentral describes it as "bacterial SSU rRNA". It matches the Rfam family "Bacterial small subunit ribosomal RNA", at positions 29 to 507 of the family's 1533-position model. The record is from RNAcentral.
AACGAACGCUGGCGGCAGGCCUAACACAUGCAAGUCGAACGCGUGGCUUCGGCCACGAGUGGCGCACGGGUGAGUAGCACGUGGGAACCUACCCUUCGGUGCGGGAUAACGCCGGGAAACUGGCGCUAAUACCGCAUACGCCCUAUGGGGGAAAGAUUUAUCGCCGAGGGAUGGGCCCGCGCCCGAUUAGCUAGUUGGUGAGGUAACGGCUCACCAAGGCUGCGAUCGGUACCUGGUCUGAGAGGAUGAUCAGGCACACUGGGACUGAGACACGGCCCAGACUCCUACGGGAGGCAGCAGUGGGGAAUAUUGGACAAUGGGGGCAACCCUGAUCCAGCCAUGCCGCGUGGGUGAUGAAGGCCUUAGGGUUGUAAAGCCCUUUCACUGGCGAAGAUGAUGACGGUAGCCAGAGAAGAAGCCCCGGCUAACUCCGUG